GCUGCGGCAGCACAUACUAAAAUCGGAACAAUACAGAGAAGAUUAGCAUGGCCCCUGCACAAGGAUGACUCACAAUUUGUGAAGUGUUCCAUAUUUUG
Molecule: small nuclear RNA, 98 nt
Filed under: Delphinapterus leucas (beluga whale)
Lineage: Eukaryota; Metazoa; Chordata; Mammalia; Artiodactyla; Monodontidae
Source: RNAcentral